Molecule: non-coding RNA, 2258 nt
Organism: Delphinapterus leucas (beluga whale)
Lineage: Eukaryota; Metazoa; Chordata; Mammalia; Artiodactyla; Monodontidae
Source: RefSeq, a predicted model, not a curated record
UUUCGGUUUUCUGUAAUGACAACAAUGUAGAAAACAAGCCCCUGGGAUAAGUACAGGUGCACGGAACAUGCUUUGGAAGACACUAGUCCUGGGGAAAUCCAGCCCAUCCUUUAAGACGGCACUCAAAUCUCAUCUCUGGCAGGAAGCCAAGCAGAACCACUGCUCGUCACGUCUCCCCUCUCCUUCUCAGGAAUUCCUACAGUACUCACGGAUACAGGUGCAUCAUUUAUAACUGACCGCUCUUUGUGAGCUGAAAGCUAGGAAUACAGCAGGUGCUGAGACAUAUGGGCUGACUGACAGAUGAGGAAUACUUUUUACUGGUUGCAAAGAGGGCUUGUGAGAUAAGGAUGAGUCACGAAAAGAGGGCUGUAGAGGACUCCCAUUGAGACAGAGGACGGAGCCCCCGAGCAGGCUCCCGGAACAUUGUGAAAACACGGAGACUUGGAGGCUCUUCUGCGAAAGAGUGAAACCUCUCUCAUAAAGACACACAAUGACUGGAGAACGAGGUCAAUGUGUUUUGCCUCUGGGGCCCACACUGGCCUAGACAUCCCAGUCCUGCGGUGCUUUCUGGUCACAGCUGUCAACAAGGAAACAAAUGCAGUCCCCACCCCAGCAUGCAGCUUCACUUGAGAGGCUGGAGAGGGAUGUGGCACAAACUCACAUGCUGUCAAUGAUCCUGAGGAAGACGCUGCAGUCCUGGAGCUGCAGCACGGCCUCCACGGGGUCAGCCACGUGCAGACUGUUCACCUGCGAGGCAAAGGGAAGAGCCUGGUGAAACCAUCAUAAGUGCAAGAAGCCCCGGGGAGGAGGGGGGCGGAGUUCCACUCCCUUCCCCAGGUGUUGACAUUCUGUUUGUUCCAACUGCCUAUAGUUGUAACUAAAGGAAUGAGAGAACAGGUGAUUCUAGGACUUGUAACUUCCAGCUCAACCACUAACAGCCACCUGAAUGCUGCCAUCAGAGUCCUUCCUUUGGUUUCAACUAAAUAAGAGCUUAAAUUCUCCCAGAAUGUUCCAGCACUUGGGGUGUACUUUAAAUAUAAUCAGGCAUAAAAUGGUUCUACAUGAAUACUGAUAGUUUCUAGAAGAAAAUCGAACCACCACUGCCUCUGAAGAGAGGAACUUGAUGGUUGGGAGCUGAGGUAGGAAAAAGGCUUUUUAUACUCUAGCCCUUUGUAUUUCUUGAAUGGUUACAUUAUAAACCUUCGUAGCUCAAAUUUUUACAGCUAAAAUUUACAGAAUGUUAUAGCUCUUGAAAUUUGAAUUUUGCGUCUACUCAAAAUUUACAUUAUAUACUAUAUAUAUUUUAUAUACUCCCACACAGAUAAAAAAUCUUGUGAUUGAUGCAUUUUAAAAUUCUUUCCAGACAUGAAACUUCAGCUGAGGCAGGGAGAAAUGAUGAGGCAACAAGAUAAGAAGAAGAAGGGAGGAAGGGAAAGAAAAGCUAGGAACCCCAAAGAAAAACUUGUCAAUAUCCAAUGGCCUCUCCCUUUCCUUGCCUUCAGGCAGACAUUCACCUAAAUCAGUCUUUCCCACUAGAAAGUUCACCAGCAGUCACAUGCAAAUGAAACAGGUACACAGGUUAUUCAACAAGCAUAUAUGGCUGACUUCUACAGGAAAACCUCAUAAAUUCCACAGGUACCAAGUUCAGAAGCCCGGGCUGAAGUUCACCUUUGUAGUACCUUAUUAAGAAGGAAGGGUCUGCUAAGUCAAUCACAUAUGCAAGACUGAGGGAGAAGGGAGACUUAUCCUGCUUUACAAGUUAUUUUUUAAAACUUCAGCAUAGUGGUUAUGCACAAACGAGUAGAUUCUAUUUAUAAAUGUGCUCUUUAUUUUUUUAAUUGAAGUAUAGCUGAUUUACAAUAACCUGUUAGUUUCAUAGUGAUUCAGUAUUUUUGCAGAUUAUCCUCCAUUAUAGGUUAUUAUAAGAUAAUGGGUAUAAUUCCCUGUGCUAUACCGUAUACCCUUGUUGCUUAUCUAUUUAUGUGUAGUAGUUCUGUAUCCGUUAAUCCCUUACCCCUAAUGUGUCCCUCCCACUUAAAUGUGCUCUUCAACAGGCACUGGGCUGGGGGCUCCCAGACAAGGAUUUUUGAGUCCAGCUCCUCCACUAACUUGCCAGGAACCUUUGUUAUCAACUUUGUUUCUUUCUGUAACUGUUUUCUCACUUGUCAAACUUAUCUACCUUAAAAGACCAGUGUGUGUUCAAAUGGGAUUGUGAAUGCAAGAACACAUUACGAAAUAAAAGUACUAAAUGCAAAGCA